This 300-nucleotide ribosomal RNA is filed under the name uncultured Methylobacterium sp. RNAcentral describes it as "bacterial SSU rRNA". It matches the Rfam family "Bacterial small subunit ribosomal RNA", at positions 115 to 424 of the family's 1533-position model. Lineage: Bacteria; Pseudomonadati; Pseudomonadota; Alphaproteobacteria; Hyphomicrobiales; Methylobacteriaceae. The record is from RNAcentral.
GCGUGGGAACGUGCCUUCUGGUCUGGAAUAACCCUGGGAAACGUAAGGGCGUAAUACCGGAUACGCCCUUUUCGGGGUAAAGGGUUUACUGCCGGAAGAUCGGCCCGCGUCUGAUUAGCUAGUUGGUGGGGUAACGGGCCUACCAAGGCGACGAUCAGUAGCUGGUCUGAGAGGAUGAUCAGCCACACUGGGACUGAGACACGGUCCAGACUCCUACGGGAGGCAGCAGUAGGGAAUAUUGCGCAAUGGGGGAAACCCUGACGCAGCAAUGCCACGUGAGUGAGGAAUGCCCUUCGGGUU